Molecule: non-coding RNA, 329 nt
Organism: Camellia sinensis
Lineage: Eukaryota; Viridiplantae; Streptophyta; Magnoliopsida; Ericales; Theaceae
Source: RefSeq, a predicted model, not a curated record
UUAGUUCUCACAAAUUGCAUCACAUCUACUAGGAGAAAACAAUUCUGACAAACUGCAUGACAUCUACAAAUUGCAUGCCAUACUCAAACAGUUCUAACAAUUCUGCUCAACCCUGGUCUUAGUUCUCACAAAUUGCAUGACAUCUACCAGCUUGGCUAGGUCUAGGUCUGCUCAACCUGAGCCUAUAUUCUUUGUCUUUUGGAGGCCUAGAGCUGCCCCAAGUCAAACCUGAAGUUUUUGUCUUGAACCCAACACUGUUAAUGGUUGCUUGGAUUGAAUUAGGUUUGAGCGGGUUCAAUCUUCAACUUCCCUUUUCUAAGAAGUACAAA